GAGAUUUUCCUGGGUUACAACUCAAGAUUGCGGGGUAUGUGGCUAAAGAAGGAAGUCGACAAGAUUAGUCCUCAGCCUCCUCCUUGCAAGUACCAUUAUCUUGGUUUUCUGCAUUUCUUCUCCCCACUAAAGAUAAGUUUGUAAGGCUUAGUUGAGUGAGUAUUCCUUUGCAGCUCGGUUUUCAUCUGGCGGUAUUCCUUCAAUCAAUCUGGUGCUCUGAUCAAAGGUAUUGUCUGUGCUCCUUUUAUUUCCAUUAGGUGAAGCAUACCUUGCUUGCUCCUGGAGUCCCUUUGGCCUCAACGAGGCCCCGCUAGUGGGAGGGAGUAACAUAAUAUUCUGGACAUGUUUGUUAUUAUCCACAAUAGACCUGUGUUGAGAACUUGCAAUUCUUGGAGCUAUCAUUUUUGCAUUCAAAAUCAUAUAGACCUGCUGCUGUCUAGAACAUCUUUUCUUAUUUAAGAUGUUGUUUAUAUUGCUGCCAUGUUGUUUCUUCAUAUCGGUGUUUUUUGAAAAAUAAUAUGGUUUCUUUAAAUUUAGUGACAUGCUAUGGCUACCUUGUACCAUCUGGCUCCCCUUGGUAAUUCAGGAUUUUGUGCUAAUCUUUUUGACAUACAUGGUUGUUCUUGACAUGUGUGGCUGGUAUCCUUCAUAGAGCACAAAGUGUUCUUACAUAGCUAAUGUUUUUCAAUUUUUUUCUUUUCAGGAUGUCCUUUCACAUGAUUCUAUGAUUACCCGAGUCCAUGAAGCAAUCAAUAAUCUUCCUGAAAUAUUUUAUGUCUAAGCGCACAAUGGUUGAACAAUUGCCUCAAUAAAUUUGGUUAUGUAGCAUCCGGACGAGACGAGACAAGUAUGCCUCGAUAAAUUUGUAAUUUAAACUACUGACUUUGAGCACUAUGAGUUAUCGGAACUAUGUUCAAAUGGAUGAUUGCAAAAAUAUUAUCCUUUUUUUGAUGUGGUUGUACUGUUAUAUAAAUCAAAAAUUUAGCUCAUUUUAUACCUGUGCAAUUUGUGUGGAAGUGCAGUCUGUGCUGUUGAAAAUUCUGUACGUGUGUAUUAGAAAGUCUGUGCUGUUGAAAAGCUAUACAUUUGGGUGCCAUGCAUGUUUGAGCAUAUAUGUAGUGCUGCAACUUGGGCGCCAUGUAUAUUUUACAACCGAAUUGAAACUGGAGCCAACUUACAGGGGUGGCAGAAAAACAACAUUCCAAGCGGAG
This 1211-nucleotide long non-coding RNA is filed under the name Triticum aestivum (bread wheat). RNAcentral describes it as "long non-coding RNA (TAES_LNC006682)". Lineage: Eukaryota; Viridiplantae; Streptophyta; Magnoliopsida; Poales; Poaceae. The record is from RNAcentral.